CGGAACGUCGUCCGUAGGUGGGGGAUAACUCGGCGAAAGCCGAGCUAAUACCGCAUAUGCUCUACGGAGGAAAGUGGGGGAUCGCAAGACCUCACGCUAUGGGAGCGGCCGAUGUCCGAUUAGCUUGUUGGUGGGGUAAUGGCCUACCAAGGCGACGAUCGGUAGCUGGUCUGAGAGGAUGAUCAGCCACACUGGGACUGAGACACGGCCCAG
This 213-nucleotide ribosomal RNA is filed under the name uncultured bacterium. RNAcentral's name for it is "partial 16S ribosomal RNA". It matches the Rfam family "Bacterial small subunit ribosomal RNA", at positions 119 to 334 of the family's 1533-position model. The record is from RNAcentral.